This 467-nucleotide long non-coding RNA is filed under the name Mytilus galloprovincialis (Mediterranean mussel). Lineage: Eukaryota; Metazoa; Mollusca; Bivalvia; Mytilida; Mytilidae. The record is from RNAcentral.
UCGUAAUCCAUCGUGUAGCCUUCGUAACCCAUCGUGUAGCCUUCGUGAUCCAUCGUGUAGGCUUCGACUGAGAUAUGAAGCUUAAAUACCUGUCUUCGGUUAACCUUCGUAUGUCCAUCUUUUGCUAUCGUAUAUAAUUUCGGCACCAUCGUAUAGACUUCGUUAUUCAUCGUACUUGCUUCGGUCACUUUUUUGUAUUUUAACGAGAUCGGGACCAACUUCGUACGAACUUACAAUUUUCGCAUUCGGUUGUCCAUCGUAUAUAAAAAUCGGGACAGUGUGACGCGGGCAUUAUAGAAUUCAGACAAGAAUUUAUAUAAAUUGUAAAACAAACAAAUAAUUAGUUGUCUCUGCCCAUUAUUGUAAUCGAAGUUAUCAAUGAACACUUUAACCUAGAAUGACCAAUUAAGCGAGGAUUUUGACAAUUCAAAACUUUUUCAAUGAAUUCCUUCUUUUUUGUUUUUUUU